Molecule: ribosomal RNA, 2904 nt
Filed under: Escherichia coli
Lineage: Bacteria; Pseudomonadati; Pseudomonadota; Gammaproteobacteria; Enterobacterales; Enterobacteriaceae
Description: bacterial LSU rRNA
Rfam family: Bacterial large subunit ribosomal RNA
Source: RNAcentral
UUAAGCGACUAAGCGUACACGGUGGAUGCCCUGGCAGUCAGAGGCGAUGAAGGACGUGCUAAUCUGCGAUAAGCGUCGGUAAGGUGAUAUGAACCGUUAUAACCGGCGAUUUCCGAAUGGGGAAACCCAGUGUGUUUCGACACACUAUCAUUAACUGAAUCCAUAGGUUAAUGAGGCGAACCGGGGGAACUGAAACAUCUAAGUACCCCGAGGAAAAGAAAUCAACCGAGAUUCCCCCAGUAGCGGCGAGCGAACGGGGAGCAGCCCAGAGCCUGAAUCAGUGUGUGUGUUAGUGGAAGCGUCUGGAAAGGCGCGCGAUACAGGGUGACAGCCCCGUACACAAAAAUGCACAUGCUGUGAGCUCGAUGAGUAGGGCGGGACACGUGGUAUCCUGUCUGAAUAUGGGGGGACCAUCCUCCAAGGCUAAAUACUCCUGACUGACCGAUAGUGAACCAGUACCGUGAGGGAAAGGCGAAAAGAACCCCGGCGAGGGGAGUGAAAAAGAACCUGAAACCGUGUACGUACAAGCAGUGGGAGCACGCUUCGGCGUGUGACUGCGUACCUUUUGUAUAAUGGGUCAGCGACUUAUAUUCUGUAGCAAGGUUAACCGAAUAGGGGAGCCGAAGGGAAACCGAGUCUUAACUGGGCGUUAAGUUGCAGGGUAUAGACCCGAAACCCGGUGAUCUAGCCAUGGGCAGGUUGAAGGUUGGGUAACACUAACUGGAGGACCGAACCGACUAAUGUUGAAAAAUUAGCGGAUGACUUGUGGCUGGGGGUGAAAGGCCAAUCAAACCGGGAGAUAGCUGGUUCUCCCCGAAAGCUAUUUAGGUAGCGCCUCGUGAAUUCAUCUCCGGGGGUAGAGCACUGUUUCGGCAAGGGGGUCAUCCCGACUUACCAACCCGAUGCAAACUGCGAAUACCGGAGAAUGUUAUCACGGGAGACACACGGCGGGUGCUAACGUCCGUCGUGAAGAGGGAAACAACCCAGACCGCCAGCUAAGGUCCCAAAGUCAUGGUUAAGUGGGAAACGAUGUGGGAAGGCCCAGACAGCCAGGAUGUUGGCUUAGAAGCAGCCAUCAUUUAAAGAAAGCGUAAUAGCUCACUGGUCGAGUCGGCCUGCGCGGAAGAUGUAACGGGGCUAAACCAUGCACCGAAGCUGCGGCAGCGACGCUUAUGCGUUGUUGGGUAGGGGAGCGUUCUGUAAGCCUGUGAAGGUGUGCUGUGAGGCAUGCUGGAGGUAUCAGAAGUGCGAAUGCUGACAUAAGUAACGAUAAAGCGGGUGAAAAGCCCGCUCGCCGGAAGACCAAGGGUUCCUGUCCAACGUUAAUCGGGGCAGGGUGAGUCGACCCCUAAGGCGAGGCCGAAAGGCGUAGUCGAUGGGAAACAGGUUAAUAUUCCUGUACUUGGUGUUACUGCGAAGGGGGGACGGAGAAGGCUAUGUUGGCCGGGCGACGGUUGUCCCGGUUUAAGCGUGUAGGCUGGUUUUCCAGGCAAAUCCGGAAAAUCAAGGCUGAGGCGUGAUGACGAGGCACUACGGUGCUGAAGCAACAAAUGCCCUGCUUCCAGGAAAAGCCUCUAAGCAUCAGGUAACAUCAAAUCGUACCCCAAACCGACACAGGUGGUCAGGUAGAGAAUACCAAGGCGCUUGAGAGAACUCGGGUGAAGGAACUAGGCAAAAUGGUGCCGUAACUUCGGGAGAAGGCACGCUGAUAUGUAGGUGAAGUCCCUCGCGGAUGGAGCUGAAAUCAGUCGAAGAUACCAGCUGGCUGCAACUGUUUAUUAAAAACACAGCACUGUGCAAACACGAAAGUGGACGUAUACGGUGUGACGCCUGCCCGGUGCCGGAAGGUUAAUUGAUGGGGUUAGCGGUAACGCGAAGCUCUUGAUCGAAGCCCCGGUAAACGGCGGCCGUAACUAUAACGGUCCUAAGGUAGCGAAAUUCCUUGUCGGGUAAGUUCCGACCUGCACGAAUGGCGUAAUGAUGGCCAGGCUGUCUCCACCCGAGACUCAGUGAAAUUGAACUCGCUGUGAAGAUGCAGUGUACCCGCGGCAAGACGGAAAGACCCCGUGAACCUUUACUAUAGCUUGACACUGAACAUUGAGCCUUGAUGUGUAGGAUAGGUGGGAGGCUUUGAAGUGUGGACGCCAGUCUGCAUGGAGCCGACCUUGAAAUACCACCCUUUAAUGUUUGAUGUUCUAACGUUGACCCGUAAUCCGGGUUGCGGACAGUGUCUGGUGGGUAGUUUGACUGGGGCGGUCUCCUCCUAAAGAGUAACGGAGGAGCACGAAGGUUGGCUAAUCCUGGUCGGACAUCAGGAGGUUAGUGCAAUGGCAUAAGCCAGCUUGACUGCGAGCGUGACGGCGCGAGCAGGUGCGAAAGCAGGUCAUAGUGAUCCGGUGGUUCUGAAUGGAAGGGCCAUCGCUCAACGGAUAAAAGGUACUCCGGGGAUAACAGGCUGAUACCGCCCAAGAGUUCAUAUCGACGGCGGUGUUUGGCACCUCGAUGUCGGCUCAUCACAUCCUGGGGCUGAAGUAGGUCCCAAGGGUAUGGCUGUUCGCCAUUUAAAGUGGUACGCGAGCUGGGUUUAGAACGUCGUGAGACAGUUCGGUCCCUAUCUGCCGUGGGCGCUGGAGAACUGAGGGGGGCUGCUCCUAGUACGAGAGGACCGGAGUGGACGCAUCACUGGUGUUCGGGUUGUCAUGCCAAUGGCACUGCCCGGUAGCUAAAUGCGGAAGAGAUAAGUGCUGAAAGCAUCUAAGCACGAAACUUGCCCCGAGAUGAGUUCUCCCUGACUCCUUGAGAGUCCUGAAGGAACGUUGAAGACGACGACGUUGAUAGGCCGGGUGUGUAAGCGCAGCGAUGCGUUGAGCUAACCGGUACUAAUGAACCGUGAGGCUUAACCUU